GUUGUGGAAUUUAUUUGCCAUUUAAGGUAGAUCAAAGGAAAUUUCUAUUAGUAAAUGAAUCAAAUGAAGAAUCUUCAUGGUUAAAUGCAUAGAAAGGAUAUUUGAAGAGAGCCAAUGAUUGACAUAAGGAGAAGCAGUUAUGAAUUUUGAAAUUGAUAUGAAGGAGAGGUCAUUCAUCACAGAAGAUUUAAUCAAAGUUUACAGUAUGUUGAGAGAAGUUCAGAACAAGCAAUUUGGUUGAAGAGGAGUUGUCAACACGUCAUCUUUGAAUAAGGUCAAUUGUAUUAGAAGUGAAUCCUUAACAGAAAUGAGACAAUAAUCAAAUAACUCAAAGACUACAUGGAUGUUAUCUGGACUAGCAUUUGUAUGACCUAAAUGUGGUAUUUUUCAUAUGAACACUUACUAGGCAGAUAAUAGUCUGUGACAAACAUUUGUAUGCUAUUAAAGACUUGAAGAACUUGUACGGUAUUCUUCAGAUUUCAGUAGAAUUUGUUUAAAACGGUACAUUCUUGGUAUGAAUUGAAGAAUUUUUGCUCAUUUAAAUGAAUUAUGAAAAUGUUUUAUAUGUUUAGAAUAAACAAAAACAACAUAAAAGAUGGACAAAUUUUUAUUUUCUUUCUUGAAACUUAUAACAGAAUAAAUUGUCAUAUGCUAA
This is a long non-coding RNA of Mytilus californianus (California mussel), 655 nucleotides long. RefSeq lists it as uncharacterized. NCBI's taxonomy places the organism in Eukaryota, Metazoa, Mollusca, Bivalvia, Mytilida, Mytilidae. The record is from RefSeq and is a predicted model, not a curated record. The transcript is spliced from 3 exons.